RNAcentral lists this unclassified non-coding RNA (523 nucleotides) under Hevea brasiliensis (rubber tree). Lineage: Eukaryota; Viridiplantae; Streptophyta; Magnoliopsida; Malpighiales; Euphorbiaceae. The record is from RNAcentral.
GAAACUUGGCAACGUGAUUGAGAGAUCAAACACAAAUUAAUCCAAGAUCUAUAGUGGGUUUUAUUUAUUUUUCUAUUAUGAUACUCAUUCAUAGUAAACCACACACAAUUCUUCAAACCCCCAAGAUCUUCAUGGUGAGAAGUUCUUGGGCUUGAGCAAGAAUCCACACAGCUUGCCAAUUUCUUUUCCCCAGGGUCUUGUUUGCUGCUGAGAUUGGUACACAAAGAGGAAGCACAGCCAAACUUGCAGAAGUAAUGGGUUUGUUCUUUGCCACUUAAAGAUGUGAUGGAAGAUGGAAAGAUGCAAUCUUUCAAGCACUUACUACCACAUGAACAGAGAGAAUUACCAGGAGUAAUUACACAUAGAAGGAAGCAACCCUUGUAGCAGUCACUGAAAGAAGCAGCAGUACACUGCCCUACAGCCAUGCCCAACACCACAAAAACCACCAUAAGAAACCUAGCUCUUCUCUCCUCCAUUGCCUUCAAUUCUCUUUCUAGACCAGUAGGAGAGAGGAUAUUAUGAC